GACCCCAGGUCAGGCGGGGCUACCCGCUGAGU
RNAcentral lists this ribosomal RNA (32 nucleotides) under Brucea javanica. RNAcentral describes it as "partial 26S ribosomal RNA". The record is from RNAcentral. Lineage: Eukaryota; Viridiplantae; Streptophyta; Magnoliopsida; Sapindales; Simaroubaceae.